AUCUUCCUGCGAGCCCCGCGCCCGCUGCAUGCCGGGUAGUGCGCGUGCCCGCCGCGCCCCCGCGCGCCGCCGCUUCCUUCGGCGGCCCGGGCGGGAGGGACAGAACGGAGAGCGGCGGGCUGAGGGUGCGGGAGGUGUUGCUUUCACCAGUUAUUUCUGGACAUAUGAAUGCUGAUAAACUGCUUCUGCUAGACCAGAAUUGUUUUUCACCCAUUAAGAAGCAAGAAUUGGUCACAUGAACUAUAAAGACAAAAUUAAAUUGGACUUUUCUUUGAUCAGUAGGGAAGAAAGAUUUUGUGGAAGAGCUCAAAAAAGUGGCUGCCAAAGAUGUAACAGGUGGAUUUUUCUCAACCGCAGGUUAACUUCACUCUUUCGUGUGCAAGACUGAGCUCUCUGAAUCACUCUGAAGUUCCACUGUCACACAUCUCUCACUGUUCUGCUCUUUUAACCCAAAGGCCUGCAAGGCACCCGCAGCCAAAGCAUGGAGAAACAUCCCUCCCCGCUGAAUGAUGGAGUGUCCCAGCAGAUUAGCAGAGCACUGCUUGUGGCAGGCGAUGUCUGUGUGAACAGUGCAUCACAAAGCCAAGGCACUGUGCUUUCUUACAUAGAGAAAUUGAAAGAAUACUAUCAGUCAGGCCUGCUGAGGGAAUCUGAAGGAGAUGAAACCCGAGGACCUUCAAGAACACCUUUUCUAUAGGCUCUGCAUGCAAGUGUAUGUCAUAUGGCCUCCAUGGCUAAGCACUGCUGGCUAAAGGCAAGGGGAAGAUGGUGUCAUCCUCCUGGAGUGACAUUAUUACAGGUGGCCACUGUGGGAAAGGCAUUCAUUUACCAUCCCCCAUAAACACAGGGGCUGCUCUUUACACAUCACAAGGCUUUUCUUACACAUCCCAAGGGGCUGUGUAAUUCUAACAAAAGCUUCUGCUGCUCUAGCCCAGGAUGGUUGGGAUUUGGGGAAGUUUCCCAAGGUCUUGUCUGGUUAAAUGUGUGUUUGAUUAAAAGCCCAAAUCUUCUACUGUUUGCCAUGCUGAGUGCUGUUUGGGCAGUCAGGGCAAGGUCUUUUGUCCUAAAAAAUUAGACAAUGGAAAUUUUAUAGUUUGACAUAAUUGAUGCAAAGUAAAAAUAUAUUAGGCUUUUUUUUUGUCCUCUCUUCAUUUUUCCCCUGUCACUUUUCUAAGACAUUAUUUCAGAAAUUCAGUUUCUAACUGGUUAUAAAAGCAGUUACUUCUCCAUGAAACAUUGCCCAGCUGAUUUUAUUACUAGAGGUCCUGCUAAAAUAAAUAAAUGAUUGUGCAGAAAA
Molecule: long non-coding RNA, 1297 nt
Organism: Haemorhous mexicanus (house finch)
Lineage: Eukaryota; Metazoa; Chordata; Aves; Passeriformes; Fringillidae
Exons: 2
Source: RefSeq, a predicted model, not a curated record